GACGAACGCUGGCGGCGUGCUUAACACAUGCAAGUCGAACGGAAAGGCCCCUUUGGGGGUACUCGAGUGGCGAACGGGUGAGUAACACGUGAGUAACCUGCCCUUGACUUCGGGAUAACUUCAGGAAACUGGGGCUAAUACCGGAUAGGAAUCCUUGCUGCAUGGUGGGGGUUGGAAAGCUUCGGCGGUUUUGGAUGGACUCGCGGCUUAUCAGCUUGUUGGUGGGGUAGUGGCUUACCAAGGCUUUGACGGGUAGCCGGCCUGAGAGGGCGACCGGCCACAUUGGGACUGAGAUACGGCCCAGACUCCUACGGGAGGCAGCGGUGGGGAAUAUUGCACAAUGGGCGGAAGCCUGAUGCAGCAACGCCGCGUGCGGGAUGACGGCCUUCGGGUUGUAAACCGCUUUCAGCAGGGGCGAAGCUUGUGGUGACGGUACCUGCAGAAGAAGCACCGGCUAACUGCGUG
Molecule: ribosomal RNA, 465 nt
Filed under: uncultured bacterium
Lineage: Bacteria
Description: partial 16S ribosomal RNA
Rfam family: Bacterial small subunit ribosomal RNA
Source: RNAcentral